CCGACUUCAAUUGCAGGAAGACUUCGUCCGGACUCCUACGGGAGCCGGACUUCAUCCCCGACUUCGACUGCAGGAAGACUUCGUCCGGACUCCUACGGGAGUCGGACUUCAUCCACAAUUUUGGCUAUAGGGAGACUUCGUCUGGACUCCUACGGGAGCCGGACUUCAUCCCCAACUUCAAUUACAAGUAGACUUCAUCCAGA
RNAcentral lists this long non-coding RNA (203 nucleotides) under Elaeis guineensis (African oil palm). RNAcentral's name for it is "long non-coding RNA (EGUI_LNC072076)". Lineage: Eukaryota; Viridiplantae; Streptophyta; Magnoliopsida; Arecales; Arecaceae. The record is from RNAcentral.